UACGAAGGGGGCUAGCGUUGUUCGGAAUUACUGGGCGUAAAGCGUGCGCAGGCGGCCAUCCAAGUCAGUGGUGAAAGCCCGGAGCUCAACUCCAGGACUGCCUUCGAUACUGAGAGUCUCGAGUCCGGGAGAGGUGAGUGGAACUGCGAGUGUAGAGGUGAAAUUCGUAGAUAUUCGCAAGAACACCAGUGGCGAAGGCGGCUCACUGGCCCGGUACUGACGCUGAGGUGCGAAAGCGUGGGGAGCAAACAGG
RNAcentral lists this ribosomal RNA (253 nucleotides) under uncultured bacterium. RNAcentral describes it as "partial 16S ribosomal RNA". It matches the Rfam family "Bacterial small subunit ribosomal RNA", at positions 524 to 776 of the family's 1533-position model. The record is from RNAcentral.